AUGAGGAGCAGUAGAGUCCGCGGAGGAGGCGGUGGUGGUGGUGGCGGAGAGGCCGCCGCCUUCCUCGCCGCGCUGCUGUGCGGCCUCCUGCUCUUGCUCGGCGCCGCCGACGCGCAGGGCAUCCGGCGCCCCUCGGCCUACAAAACACUACGAGGUGAUGCUCCCCUUGUUAUCGCCCAAGGCGGAUUUUCAGGGGUAUUUCCUGAUUCCAGCCAGGCCGCCUUUGCUUUCGCAUUGCUUGCCAGCGCACCUGAUACAAGCGUGUGGUGCGAUGUGCAACUCACAAAAGAUGGCGUUGGGAUUUGCCUUCGAGACAUAAAUAUGGCAAACUGCACCAAUGCUGCAACAGCCUACCCUGCGAAAAAGAAGAAGUAUGUCAUCGAUGGCGUGCCCAAAACUGGACACUUCUCUCUCGACUUCACCUAUUCUGAGGUCCAAAACACUUACUUAACACAGGGAUUUUAUUCUCGCACCGACAGGUUUGAUUCCAUAUAUAAUAUCUUUUCCGUGACAGACUUGCAGUCCUAUAUCAAGCCGCCUUCCGUUUGGCUGAAUGUUCAGCAUGACGCCUUCUAUUCGCAACAUGGUUUGAACAUGAGAAGAUACAUAGUUUCCAUCCUAAAGAGUGUCUCUGUGAAGUAUAUUUCAUCACCUGAGAUAGGUUUCCUCAAAAGCAUAUCUAAAAGAGUUCGCGGCAGAACAAAGCUUGUGUUUCGCUUUCCUGAUAACUUUCUGUCUGAUCCUUCUACAAACCAAACCUAUAGCUCACUGUCUAAGAACCUAACGUUUAUUAAGACAAUUGCUUCUGGUAUCAUGGUCCCCAAGAGCUACAUCUGGCCAGUGACGAAUGAUAACUAUCUGCUGCCUCCAACACCCUUUGUCCAAGAUGCCCACAGGGCAGGGUUAGAAAUAUAUGCAUCUGACUUCGCAAAUGAUAGGAUUAUUCCCUAUAACUACAGUUAUGAUCCCUUGCAAGAAUACCUAUCAUUUAUAAGUGAUGGUGGCUUCUCCGUGGAUGGUGUGUUAACAGACUACCCUAUUACUGCAUCCGAGGCUAUUGGCUGUUUUGCUAACUUGAAUGAAAGUAAGGCGGAUCAUGGGAAACCUUUAAUUAUUUCGCAUAAUGGUGCCAGUGGAGACUAUCCGGAUUGUACUGAUCUUGCCUACCAGAAUGCAAUUAAGGAUGGUGCGGACGUGAUUGACUGUGCCCUUCAAGUCACAAAAGAUGGAGUUCUUAUUUGCAUGAGUUCCAUCAACCUGCUCGAGACCACCAAUGUUCAGAGGACACCUUUCAGUACCCUUACAUCUGUCAUUCCUGAAAUUAAGAGUACAGCAGGGAUUUAUACAUUCAACCUUACUUGGAACAACAUUAGCGAUAGUUCUUUGAAACCCAAGAUAUCUAGCCCAUUGAGUAGCUACUAUCUUGUAAGAAACCCGAGAUACACAAACAAUGGGAAGUUUGUCAAGUUCUCAGAUUUUCUGGAAUAUGGAAAGGAUCAGGAUUUGUCUGGCAUCAUGAUCAUUAUCGAGAAUGCUGCAUUUAUAGCGAAAUCUUUAGGAGUUGAUGUUCUCGAGUCCUUAACCACUGCCUUAAAUGAUGCUGGCUAUAAUAAUCAAACGACCAAGGAAGUCAUGAUCCAGUCAACAGAUAGCGCUGUUCUUGUCAAAUUGAAGCAGCAGAAAGCAAAAUACAAGCUUGUUUACACUCUCCCGCAAGGCAUUGGGGAUGCUUCUCCUUCCUCACUAGCCGAUGUCAAGGAGUUUGCCGAGGCUGUGGUCGUUGACAGGAAUUCCUUUUUUGCAAUAAGCUUGCAAUUUAUCAUCAACCAAACCAGCCUGGUGAAAGACUUGCGGUCCGCAGGGCUAACGGUAUAUGCGCAGGUGUUCCGCAAUGAGUUCCUAUCACAACCUUGGGACUUCUUCUCGGAUGAAACAGUGGAAAUCAAUAGCUAUGCCCAGUCGCUUAAAGUCGAUGGCUUAAUUACCGACUUCCCCAAGACAGUGAGGAGAUACAAGAGGAAUUCUUGUACAGGAAAGGACAAGCCCGCCUACAUGGAGACCGUUGAUGUCGGCGGCCUCGUGCAGCUACUCCAGAGAAAUGCCGCUCCUGAGGCCCAGCCGCCAGCGGUGGCACCGAUGCCAGAAUUGAACGAAACAGAGGUGCAGCAGCCGCCAUUCCCCCCUGUCGCGCCUAAGAAUGCACCUCCUGGUGCCGCCGCACCUCCCGGUUCAUCGCCAUCUGAUGCUCACACGACGGCUGUAAGCACCUGCAUUCUGCUGGUAGCGGCCUGUGCAGCUCUGCUGCUUUGA
Molecule: ribosomal RNA, 2310 nt
Filed under: Triticum aestivum (bread wheat)
Lineage: Eukaryota; Viridiplantae; Streptophyta; Magnoliopsida; Poales; Poaceae
Description: partial small subunit ribosomal RNA
Source: RNAcentral